AGUGGAUGGGGAGCAACCUAUGUUGUGCGUGUGUAAAGGUAGUGCCAAGAAAAGCGAUGAUCAUGUUGAAAAUCAAUUCCCGGUACCCGAAACCGACACAGGUGGGCAAGUAGAGAAUACUAAAGGGGCGAGGUAACUCUCUCCAAGGAACUCGGCAAAAUGACCCCGUAACUUAGGGAGAAGGGGUGCCACCGAGAGGUGGUCGCAGUGAAGAGGCCCAGGCGACUGUUUAGCAAAAACAUAGGUCUCUGCAAACUCGAAAGAGGAGGUAUAGGGGCUGACGCCUGCCCAGUGCCGGAAGGUUAAAGAAGUUGGUCAGUUUUAGGAUGAAGCUAGCGACUGAAGCCCCGGUGAACGGCGGCCGUAACUAUAACGGUCCUAAGGUAGCGAAAUUCCUUGUCGGGUAAGUUCCGACCCGCACGAAAGGCGUAACGAUCUGGGCGCUGUCUCGGAGAGAGGCUCGGCGAAAUAGGAUUGUCUGUGAAGAUACGGACUACCUGCAUUUGGACAGAAAGACCCUAUGAAGCUUUACUAUAGCUUGGAAUUGUGUUCGGGCUUCCUGUGCGCAGGAUAGGUGGGAGGCGUAGAAGGUAUUCUUGUGGGGAUACUGGAGCCAACGGUGAGAUACCACUCUCAGGAGGCUAGAAUUCUAACUUAAUUAAGGACAGUUUCAGGUGGGUAGUUUGACUGGGGCGGUCGCCUCCAAAAAGGUAACGGAGGCGUACAAAGGUUCCCUCAGACUGGUUGGAAAUCAGUCGAAGAGUGCAAAGGCAGAAGGGAGCUUGACUGCGAGAAGUACAGUUCGAGCAGGGUGGAAACACGGUCUUAGUGAUCCGACGGUGCUGUGUGGAAGGGCCGUCGCUCAACGGAUAAAAGUUACUCUAGGAUAACAGGCUGAUCUCCCCCAAGAGUUCACAUCGACGGGGAGGUUUGGCACCUCGAUGUCGGCUCAUCGCAACCUGGGGCGGAAGUACGUCCCAAGGGUUGGGCUGUUCGCCCAUUAAAGCGGUACGUGAGCUGGGUUCAGAACGUCGUGAGACAGUUCGGUCCAUAUCCGAUGUAGGCGUGAGAAUAUUGAGAGGAGCCUUCCUUAGUACGAGAGGACCGGGAAGGACGCACCGCUGGUGUACCUGUUAUGAUGCCAAUUGUAAACGCAGGGUAGCCAAGUGCGGAGAGGAUAACCGCUGAAAGCAUCUAAGUGGGAAGCCCACCUCAAGAUGAGUAUUCUGGUGUAAGGUCACGGGAAGACGACCCGUAAAUAGGCACGAGGUGGAAGUGCAGAGAUGUAUGAAGCCGAAGUGUACUAAUAGACCGUCGGCUUGACC
RNAcentral lists this ribosomal RNA (1325 nucleotides) under metagenome. Its description in RNAcentral is "bacterial LSU rRNA". It matches the Rfam family "Bacterial large subunit ribosomal RNA", at positions 1561 to 2925 of the family's 2925-position model. The record is from RNAcentral.